RNAcentral lists this ribosomal RNA (458 nucleotides) under Nematogenys inermis. Its description in RNAcentral is "partial 16S ribosomal RNA". It matches the Rfam family "Bacterial large subunit ribosomal RNA", at positions 1922 to 2559 of the family's 2925-position model. Lineage: Eukaryota; Metazoa; Chordata; Actinopteri; Siluriformes; Nematogenyidae. The record is from RNAcentral.
GUUCAACGGCCGCGGUAUUUUGACCGUGCAAAGGUAGCGCAAUCACUUGUCUUUUAAAUAAAGACUUGUAUGAACGGUAGAACGAAGACUUAGCUGUCUCCCCUUUCAAGUCAAUGAAAUUGAUCUAUCCGUGCAGAAGCGGGUAUAAAUAUACAAGACGAGAAGACCCUUUGGAGCUUAAGAUAAAAACCAACUAUAACUAAGCUUUAUAAAAACUGGUAAACAUCUUUGGUUGGGGCGACUACGGGAAAAAAUAAAACUCCCACGCAGACUGGUAAACUUACUAAAACUAAGAAAAACACCUCCAAGUCACAGAAUAUCUGACCACUUGACCCGGCACAUAGCCGAAUAACGAACCAAGUUACCCUAGGGAUAACAGCGCAAUCCUCUUCCAGAGCCCAUAUCGACAAGAGGGUUUACGACCUCGAUGUUGGAUCAGGACACCCUAAUGGUGAAGC